UACGGAGGAUGCGAGCGUUAUCCGGAUUUAUUGGGUUUAAAGGGUGCGUAGGCGGACUGUCAAGUCAGCGGUAAAAUACGGGGGCUCAACCUCCGCCCGCCGUUGAAACUGACGGUCUUGAGUGGGCGAGAAGUAUGCGGAAUGCGUGGUGUAGCGGUGAAAUGCAUAGAUAUCACGCAGAACUCCGAUUGCGAAGGCAGCAUACCGGCGCCCAACUGGCGCUGAAGCACGAAGGCGUGGGUAUCGAACAGG
RNAcentral lists this ribosomal RNA (252 nucleotides) under uncultured bacterium. Its description in RNAcentral is "partial 16S ribosomal RNA". It matches the Rfam family "Bacterial small subunit ribosomal RNA", at positions 524 to 776 of the family's 1533-position model. The record is from RNAcentral.